CCCUUAGAUGUCCUGGGCUGCACGCGCGCUACACUGAUGUGUCCAGUAAGCACCUAACCUCUUCCGAAAGGAACGGGUAACCUUUGCAAAGCACAUCGUGAUGGGGAUAGAUUAUUGCAAUUAUUAGUCUUGAACGAGGAAUUCCUAGUAAGCACAAGUCAUCAGCUUGUGUUGAUUACGUCCCUGCCCUUUGUACACACCGCCCGUCGCUCCUACCGAUUGAAUGUUCCGGUGAGCUCGUCGGACUGCGCGGUCUGCAGUUUCUGCGUUCCGUGCGGAAAGUUGCGCAAACCUUAACAUUUAGAGGAAGGAGAAGUCGUAACA
This 324-nucleotide ribosomal RNA is filed under the name uncultured eukaryote. RNAcentral describes it as "partial 18S ribosomal RNA". It matches the Rfam family "Eukaryotic small subunit ribosomal RNA", at positions 1470 to 1796 of the family's 1831-position model. The record is from RNAcentral.